GAGAAGGUCUGGAGAAAAAACUAAGUCUCCCAAUUAUCAGAGGCUUCUACUAUUGCCACCAUGUGGCAAAACUCUGAGAACCAGACACUCCUGUUUUUCACUCUUUUCCCCUGGGAUUAGGAAUGCCUCAGGACAACCGCUCCAGUCUCUUGCUUUUCAGGGCCCAAAUACCUCCCACCACCCCAGUCUACCUGGGGACUGCUGAUAUCAAUUGUUAGAAAUCCUGUGACCAACUAAAUCUCUGAUUCCAGUCCACUUGGAAUUGAAGAUUCUUUUUUUUUUUUUUUUUUUUUUUUUUUUUUUUUUUUUUUUGAGACGCGGAGUCUCACUCUGUCGACCAGGCUGGAGUGCGGUGGCGCGAUCUUAGCUGACUGAAACCUCCCAGGCUGGAGUGCAGUGGCCCGAUCUCAGCUCACUGCAACCCCUACCUCCUGGGUUCAAGCGAUUUUCCUGCCUCAGCUUCCCAAGUAGCUGGUACUACAGGUGUGCCCCACCAUGCCCAGCUAAUUCUUUUAUUUGUAGUAGAGACAAGGUUUCACCAUGUUGGCCAGGCUGGUCUCGAACUCCUGACUUCAGGUGAUCCACUCGCCUCGGCCUCCCAAAGUGCUGGGAUUACAGGAGUGAGCCACUGCGCGUGGCCCGAAUUGAAGAUUCUUAAAGGAAAUAGAAAAAUCGGAGGUAGGAAGCAGGGUUGAGCACUGUUUGAGGAGAAUGACGACAACACUCCAGGAUACUGAAACAAUAAGAUGGAAGGACCCUGACAGUCGGGAGCUGCUAUAUCCACCAAAAACUGCUCAUUUUUUAUCUUUUUACUUUCAUUCUAACGUGUAAGACUACCAACCAAUACACACUAUCACUAUUUUGGGGCAAUCAUUUCUCUAUGUGAAUAUCUUUAUAUGGUUGAAAUUAUACUCUAUUUUCAUUUCUAUAUGCUUAUUUUUACAAAACAACAUAUUGUGACUAUAUUUCUUGGUCAAAAAAUGUACAUCUACAAUUACAUUGAAAAAUAGUGACUGGUAUUCCAUUAGGCACCCACCAUAAUUUGGUUUCCUCAUAUUGGACAGUUUUUGCUCUGAUAGUACUGCAAUGAACAUUUUUCUCUGUAAAUUUUUGACCAUUUUUCUGAUUAUUUUUUUAAGAUAGAUCACUAGGGCUGGUCGUGGUGGCUCAUGCUUGUAAUCCUAGCACUUAGGGAGGCUGAGCCAGUGGAUCACCUGAGGUCAGGGGUUCAAGACCAGCCUGAGCAACAUGACGAAACCCCGUCUCUACUAAAAAUACAAAAAUUAGCUGGGCGUGGUGGCGUGCGCCUGUAGUACCAGCUACUCAGGAGGCUGAGACAGGAGAAUUGCUUGAACUAGGGAGGUGGAGAUUGCAGUGAGCCGAGAUCAUGCCACUGAACUCCAGCCUGGGCAACAACAGAAUGAGACUCCAUCUCAAAAAAAAAAAAAAAAAAAGAAAAGAUAGAUCACUAGAAUUAGUCAUUACUAUUUGAGCAAGAGUAUUUGGUUCUUAAAACUCACAACUUGCUUCCAUGAAGUUAUACUAAUUUACAUAGCCACACCACAAAUGCUGCAGGAGAAUGUAUGUUUUCCUACCUCCUUAAGAUAAUUAACAUUUAAAAUGCUUUUGCUAUUCAAAUAUGGGAAAAUAAUAUUAUUUCAUUCUUUGUUUCAAUUUAUGUAUUUUUAUGACUCAUUAGGUUGAAUUGGUUUUCUCAUGUUUAUCAGACACAUGAAAUCCUCCUUCUAUGAAUUUGCUACUCAUAUUUAUUUCUCAUAUUACUAUUGAUUCUUAGAUAUUGUUUUCAUUAUUCAAUUUCUAUGAAUUCUCUACAUACUGGAAUACUCAUUCUUUAUAAAAUCAUGGCAUAUGUUUCCAAUUUGAUCUGUCUUCAACUUUAUGAUUUUUGAUAAGCCAAAGUUCUAAACAUAUAUCUAUUUUGAAUAUAUUGACUUUUUCCUUAGUUAUUUCUUCCAUUACUUUCAGGGUUAGAAAGCAUUUCUUUCUUCAAAAAUAAGACAUUGUUUUAAAUUUUGUUAUAUUUAAAAUUUGUUUUAUUUUUGAUAUUGAUUUCUGAAAGCAACUUAAAAUGCAUUUCACUGUGUGGUAUGAGGAAUCUAAAGAAUUGUUUCUAAAUACCUAGCUCGUUUUCUCGUGACAUAAUUUGAAUAUUUCAUUUUUUCUCUGUUGUUUUAUGAUGCUUGCUUUGUCACAUGUCUCAAUUCAAUUUGGGCUGCUCUAACAAAGCACCGUGGAUUGGGUGGCUUAAACAAAGAACAGUGUUUUCUCACAGCUCUGGAGGCUUGAAGUCUGAGAUCAGGGGCCAGGAUGGUGGCAUUCUGGUAAGGACCCUCUUCCAGGUUGCAGACUGCCAACUUCUUGGAUCCACACAGUGUGUGAAAAGAGAGAGAAAGCAAGCUCUCUCAUAACUCUGAUGAGGGCACUAAUCUCAUUCCUGAGGCCUCUACCCUCAUGGCCUCAUCUAAAUCCUAAUGACCUCUCAAUAACCCCACCUUCUAAUUCAUCACAUAGGAAUUUUGGAGGAACACAAGUGUUCAGUCCAUAACAUCAUAUAUUAAAGUUUUACAUAAACUAAGGCUCAUAGGGACUAUCUAUAAGAUUCAUCUAUUUAUUCUUUAAGUGGUAGCUUUUCUUCUUUGUUGGCUCUUUUAAAUUAUUUCUGAAAAGAAUGAAACAGAAAAAAAGCCAAAGAUAAUUAAUAUAGAAAUCAUCUAUAUUUCCAUUACCUAGACUUAAUGAUUAACGUUUUAAAUAUUUGUAUUGGUACAGUCAUUUUAGUGAUUUCAGCUUUAUAAUAUUUUCUCUAGUGGGGCAACUUUCACGUCAGUUUUUUCUCCUAAGAGCUUCUUAUCUACUUUCACUUACUAAUUCCCUAAAUAAACUUUAAAACCACUGUUAAGCUGUCCCCAAAAUUCAUUGAGAAUAAAAAGAAUUCUGUUGGCUAAUAAAAUAAUUGGCAAGGAAUUGAUGUUUUCAACCAGAAAAGUGCAUAUUCUCUUUUUUUAAGAGACUAAUUAGAACUUCUUUAUAUUUCUCAAUAUGCUUAGUUACUUUACCCAAAUUAUACAAUGAAAUGGAAAAGUGAGAUUUGUACUCAUGUAUUUUUUACUGAAGGUACAGUACUCUUUAUAACAUUACAUUCUAACAUUUGGCAAAGGGCCUAAAAUGUACUGAUAAGAUCUAGAAUACGAAGCACUGUGCCAAAUGCUGUGAUAGAAAAACAAUAUUGUAUGAACUGGUUUUUGCAUUCAAGGCACAUUUUUUGAAAAACAAAAAUCAAGUCUAUGACACAUGCAAUUAAUUAGAAAACAAUGAAAGAGAUCAGUGGAAUUGUUUUGCAAUAGUGGUUGCUCAUGGACCUCUGUGAAUUGAAUGACUGAAUGCAAGGUGAGCUUUUACUAAAUUUCCUUUUUCUUGUUGGCCACUCAGCCUCUUUUUUGACUACUGCACUUUUUACUGCUCAUGCUUAUUUUUGCUCUGGCUUCUGGAUGCCUGUGGCUAUGUAUUCACCAAUUUUAAAUAAACAGUCUAUAUCCUCCAGCUGGAUGCCCUGCUUUUUGAGAAAUGUCUGUGGUUUUAUUGCAACAAGUACUAAUGGAACUUGGUCCAAUUACAUAAACUUAUUAAAUAUUAUAUGAAUAACAUUGCCACCACAACUGAUGUAUGUUGUGAUUCACUCCCAACUCGACUGACAAUAAAUAGCCAUUUCCCCAGACAGGCUUUUGCAGAUGACUACCUCGGUUCCUCAGUUGGCUGCUGUUCCCUCAGAAAGUGGACUUGGCUCCACAGCUGCAGAAAC
This 3820-nucleotide long non-coding RNA is filed under the name Homo sapiens (human). RNAcentral describes it as "HSALNT0204085". Lineage: Eukaryota; Metazoa; Chordata; Mammalia; Primates; Hominidae. The record is from RNAcentral.